This is a long non-coding RNA of Pseudoliparis swirei, 983 nucleotides long. RefSeq lists it as uncharacterized. The transcript has 4 exons. NCBI's taxonomy places the organism in Eukaryota, Metazoa, Chordata, Actinopteri, Perciformes, Liparidae. The record is from RefSeq and is a predicted model, not a curated record.
CUCAUCGUUCUGUCAAAGAGUCUGACAACACCUCAAAAACUAUUAUUGUCUGAAAUACAACACUUGGGUUUCUCUUCUCUCUUGCUCCUGCUCUAGAUUAAAGGUGUUUCAUCAUGGAGGUCCGGCUCUUCUGAGGAUUCUAUUUGGAAUUCCAGCAACAGCGGAAGAGCUGCAUAUGACGAGCUGGGACAGAUUUUCCGCAGCAGGAGGUGUGCAGGGGAAACGGAUCAAGGAUGUCCUGGCGCUCCAUGAUCCGUGUGACAUCACAACCGGGAGGGAGUGCACCCUGAGGAGCCUCGUGGACCUCCAUGAGACCCCGACUCUUCCUUCAAGGAGCAUCGGGUCAGCCAUGACGGUAGCCAGGAUGAUUGACAGGUUUCACAGCCACACAGAGGGCAUGAGACCUUCACUGACCUCCUGAACUCAGGAAUUGCCUUUUGUUUUUGUUCUUUGUUGUGUGUGUCCUAUCUGUAUUGCCUGUACUGUACACACACAAAAAUCAAUAAAUAUAAUGUUACAUUAUUUAAAAAAGAAAGAAAUAAGUUAUAAUUGUCAAUAGUUGUUUAAGAAAUGUAAUAACAAUAAAUAACCACAAAGAAAUAAGAAUAACGUGUUUUUGUUUUGUGUUAAAAAUAAUCUAAGAAAACAUUAAUAUGUGGAGUACUGCCUAAUAGUCUUAUAAUUGACCUUUUUAUGACAAUUGCUCAUAUACUGUAAGCCUAAACAAGUAUAUUUAAUUUCAAAAAGUGCCCCCCAAUUUCUUUUUAAAUGCCCUUGGAUUUCAGUCACUGGGGGCAAAAGUUUCCCCCUAAACAAGAUGUGCAUUUCCUACCCUGGGUCCACGUGUGUGUCCUUGUUUGCACUGAUGGUGCAUCUUGAGGUCAAAGGUCAGGGAUGUCUGUGUGUACAGAUUGUAAAGCCCUCUGAGGGGAAUUUGUAAUUUGUGAAAAUGGGUUAUACUAAAUAAACUGAAUUGAACUGAA